Molecule: ribosomal RNA, 484 nt
Filed under: uncultured bacterium
Lineage: Bacteria
Description: partial 16S ribosomal RNA
Rfam family: Bacterial small subunit ribosomal RNA
Source: RNAcentral
AGUGAACGCUAGCGGGAGGCUUAACACAUGCAAGUCGAACGGCAGCGCGGAAUUCGGUCUCGCGGCGAGUGGCGGACGGGCGGGCAAUGUAGCGGAACGUGCGCAUUAGCGGUGGAUAAGGACGCGAAAGCGGAGAUAAUACCGCAUACGCCCAACGGGGGAAAGCAGGGGAGCGUAAGAUCUUCCAACAUUGGAGCAGCCGAUAUCGGAUUAGCUAGUUGGUGAGGUAACGGCUCACCAAGGCGACGAUCCGUAGCUGGUUUGAGAGGACGAGCAGCCACACUGGGACUGAGACACGGCCCAGACUCCUACGGGAGGCAGCAGUGGGGAAUUUUGGACAAUGGGCGCAACCCUGAUCCAGCCAUCCCGCGUGGGCGAUGAAGGCCUUCGGGUUGUAAAGCACUUUUGGCAGGAAAGAAACGCAGCAGGCUAAUACCCCGUUGUUCUGACGGUACCUGCAGAAUAAGCACCGGCUAACUUCGUG